Varanus komodoensis (Komodo dragon) is the source of this 448-nucleotide long non-coding RNA. RefSeq lists it as uncharacterized. The transcript has 4 exons. Lineage: Eukaryota; Metazoa; Chordata; Lepidosauria; Squamata; Varanidae. The record is from RefSeq and is a predicted model, not a curated record.
UGCAGUAGGAAAGCACUUUCGGAGUGCUCCUCGAGCCCACUGCCUCACUCUUAGGAAGAACCCUGCUGAGCAAGGUAUUAGGUAGUCACUCCGGAAAGCUCUGGUUCUGUUCAAUAAAACUUAACAGGACUGCAUUUAGGACUUCAUAGAUGGAAAAUAUGGCUACAAAAUGAACACAAGAGCAGCCUGCCUACAUUAGAUGACAAGUCCACAUAGUUUAGCAUAUGUGUUUCAACACUGACCAACAGUACGUUGCCUGGAGGCUCGUAAGCAGAGCACAAAGGAAACUUCCCUGCUUUACUGGUUUCCUCAACAUUUGGUAUCCACAGUAUGCAGAAUAUAUCAUAAAGACUGAUCAAAGGAAGGAAUGAAAAUUGGUGGAAGAUCCAUUAAUAAGAUAUGCUAAAAGCACUGUAUUAGUUGCAGAAAGCAGCAAUGAACUGAAAUG